AGGAUGAACGCUGGCGGCGUGCCUAACACAUGCAAGUCGAACGUCCUGUCUCGCAAGAGGCAGGGAGUGGCGGACGGGUGAGUACCACGUGGGUCAUCUACCGUGAGGUGAGGAAUACCGGCGAGAAAUCGCCGACAAGACCGCAUAGCCUCGGUGCAAGUCGAGCAAAGCUCUUUCGAGAGAGGGAGCGCCACACGAGGAGCCUGCGCCCGAUUAGCUAGCUGGUGGAGUAACGGUUCACCAGGGCGACGAUCGGUAGCUGGUCUGAGAGGACGAUCAGCCACACUGGGAUUGAGAACGGCCCAGACUCCUACGGGGGGCAGCAGUGAGGAAUUUUCGUCAAUGGGGGCAACCCUGAACGAGCAACGCCGCGUGCAGGAAGAAGGUUUCGGAUCGUAAACUGCUUUUCGUCGGGGAAGAGAACGGACGGUACCCGAGGAAUCAGCCCCGGACUAACUACGCGCCAGCAGCCGC
This 474-nucleotide ribosomal RNA is filed under the name uncultured bacterium. RNAcentral's name for it is "SSU rRNA". It matches the Rfam family "Bacterial small subunit ribosomal RNA", at positions 26 to 518 of the family's 1533-position model. The record is from RNAcentral.